This 497-nucleotide ribosomal RNA is filed under the name uncultured bacterium. Its description in RNAcentral is "partial 16S ribosomal RNA". It matches the Rfam family "Bacterial small subunit ribosomal RNA", at positions 28 to 507 of the family's 1533-position model. The record is from RNAcentral.
GAUGAACGCUGGCGGCGUGCCUAAUACAUGCAAGUCGAGCGAACGGACGAGAAGCUUGCUUCUCUGAUGUUAGCGGCGGACGGGUGAGUAACACGUGGAUAACCUACCUAUAAGACUGGGAUAACUUCGGGAAACCGGAGCUAAUACCGGAUGAUAUUUUGAACCGCAUGGUUCAAAAGUGAAAGACGGUCUUGCUGUCACUUAUAGAUGGAUCCGCGCUGCAUUAGCUAGUUGGUAAGGUAACGGCUUACCAAGGCAACGAUGCAUAGCCGACCUGAGAGGAUGAUCGGCCACACUGGAACUGAGACACGGUCCAGACUCCUACGGGAGGCAGCAGUAGGGAAGCUUCCGCAAUGGGCGAAAGCCUGACGGAGCAACGCCGCGUGAGUGAUGAAGGUCUUCGGAUCGUAAAACUCUGUUAUUAGGGAAGAACAUAUGUGUAAGUAACUGUGCACAUCUUGACGGUACCUAAUCAGAAAGCCACGGCUAACUACGUG